GGAGGGUGUAGCUCAGUGGUAGAGCCCAUGCUUAGCAUGCAUGAGGUCCUGGGUUCAAUCCCCAGUACCUCCA
Molecule: transfer RNA, 73 nt
Filed under: Vicugna pacos (alpaca)
Lineage: Eukaryota; Metazoa; Chordata; Mammalia; Artiodactyla; Camelidae
Description: tRNA-Ala (AGC) (tRNA-Ala-AGC-314-1)
Rfam family: tRNA
About the family: Transfer RNA (tRNA) molecules are approximately 80 nucleotides in length. Their secondary structure includes four short double-helical elements and three loops (D, anti-codon, and T loops).
Source: RNAcentral